GCAUCUUCUCGAUAUAUGUUCAGCAGUAGUAUAGCUGGGUCCUCAGUAUCUGCCAGUUACCUGAGUUUUUGCCAGGAGUGCAUAGGCCACAGAAGCAGAAGAGCAGCUAGGACAAUGUGGCCUCCCUCCCUCCCUCUGCCUGAGCUCCACAACAGAGCUGACAACCUCCCUCUGCCUGAGCCCCAAGAGCUGACACCUGGGACUGAAGGUGGCACCUGUGGAGCUAAACAAUAGCCCACUACACGGGCAGCUCAUCUUUGAAGUUGAUGGACUGAGAGUUGCACCUAGAGGCUGACACACCUACUGCCGGAGGGCAUGCUGAAUGUAAACAAACUUGACUGCCUGAGAACUGAGCUUGAGAAGAUCUUGGCAUCUUCAUGGCUGGGACUGUAUUUACUCUUGCAUAUAUUUUAUUCCUGCAGUUUUCGGUUUCAUUUCGUACUUGCCUAUAUAAGCUCAAAAUACCCCCAAGUAAAUGGAUGCUUUGAUACA
Long non-coding RNA from Mastomys coucha (southern multimammate mouse), 492 nucleotides. RefSeq lists it as uncharacterized. The transcript is spliced from 2 exons. NCBI's taxonomy places the organism in Eukaryota, Metazoa, Chordata, Mammalia, Rodentia, Muridae. The record is from RefSeq and is a predicted model, not a curated record.